GUGAACGCUGGCGGUCGGCCUCACCCCUGCAAGUCGAACGGCAGCACAGUAAGAGCUUGCUCUUACGGGUGGCGAGUGGCGGACGGGUGAGGAAUACAUCGGAAUCUACUUUUUCGUGGGGGAUAACGUAGGGAAACUUACGCUAAUACCGCAUACGACCUACGGGUGAAAGCAGGGGAUCUUCGGACCUUGCGCGAUUGAAUGAGCCGAUGUCGGAUUAGCUAGUUGGCGGGGUAAAGGCCCACCAAGGCGACGAUCCGUAGCUGGUCUGAGAGGAUGAUCAGCCACACUGGAACUGAGACACGGUCCAGACUCCUACGGGAGGCAGCAGUGGGGAAUAUUGGACAAUGGGCGCAAGCCUGAUCCAGCCAUACCGCGUGGGUGAAGAAGGCCUUCGGGUUGUAAAGCCCUUUUGUUGGGAAAGAAAAGCAGCAGGUUAAUACCCCGCUGUUCUGACGGUACCCAAAGAAUAAGCACCGGCUAACUUCGUG
RNAcentral lists this ribosomal RNA (491 nucleotides) under uncultured bacterium. Its description in RNAcentral is "partial 16S ribosomal RNA". It matches the Rfam family "Bacterial small subunit ribosomal RNA", at positions 29 to 507 of the family's 1533-position model. The record is from RNAcentral.